RNAcentral lists this ribosomal RNA (433 nucleotides) under uncultured bacterium. RNAcentral describes it as "partial 16S ribosomal RNA". It matches the Rfam family "Bacterial small subunit ribosomal RNA", at positions 28 to 507 of the family's 1533-position model. The record is from RNAcentral.
GACGAACGCUGGCGGCAUGCCUAACACAUGCAAGUCGAACGAUACCUUCGGGUCUAGUGGCGCACGGGUGCAUAACGCGUUGGAACCUGCCCUUAGGUUCCGAAUAACUCCCCGAACCGGUUGCUACUGCCGGAUAAUGUCUUCGGACCCACGCUUUAUCGCCUUUGGGUGGGCCCGCGUUGGAUUGGCUGGUUGGUAGGGUAAAAGCCUACCAAGGCGACGAUGCAUAGCUGGUCGGAGAAGAUGAUCAGCCACCCUGGGACUGCGACACGGACCAGACCCCUACGGAGGGCAGCGGUAGAGAAUAUUGGAGGAGGGGCGAAAGUCUGAUCCAGCAAUGCCGCGGGAGUGAUGAAGGGCUUAGGGAUGUAAAUCUCUCUUACCCGGGAUGAAAAUGACAGUACCGGGAGAAGAAGCACCGGCUAACUCCGUG